This 71-nucleotide transfer RNA is filed under the name Camelus dromedarius (Arabian camel). It matches the Rfam family "tRNA". Rfam says of the family: Transfer RNA (tRNA) molecules are approximately 80 nucleotides in length. RNAcentral also lists the same sequence under 1 other name. The record is from Rfam by way of RNAcentral. Lineage: Eukaryota; Metazoa; Chordata; Mammalia; Artiodactyla; Camelidae.
GAGGGUAUAGCUCAGUGGUAGAGCAUGUGCUUAGUGUGCACAAGGUCGCGGGUUCAACCCCAGCACCUCCA